This is a long non-coding RNA of Bufo bufo (common toad), 2009 nucleotides long. RefSeq lists it as uncharacterized. The record is from RefSeq and is a predicted model, not a curated record. The transcript is spliced from 3 exons. NCBI's taxonomy places the organism in Eukaryota, Metazoa, Chordata, Amphibia, Anura, Bufonidae.
AACAGCUGGAGGGCCGCAGGUUGGCCAGCCCUGAUCUAAAUCUUUGCUCUUUCUGAGUUCAGGAGUCAUGUGGGCGGUCCUAAUAAGUGACUGACAGCUCUCUAUAUAUGUACACUCAUACAGGGAAGGUUGUCAGUCACUGAUUAGGACUUAAACGUUUCCUAGAAAACUAUAUAUCAAUCUGCUCAGCUCCUCCUGCUCUAGAACAUCUCGGUAAUAGUAAUGGAGAUCAUUUUUCACCAGUCUGUUACCACCGGAAAUAUCUGUGCCCCAUACUCGGCUAUCUCCAGCAGUUCUAUUGAGAAUGGAGCGGCAGGGCAUAUGCCCGACAUGCUGCUCAAUCAGAUUGUGGGAUUAGUAUCCCCAUUUUCAGGAUCAGGGAUAGGGCUAACUAUGAAACUUGGCACAACUCCUUUAAAUAUAUUGAGGAAAAAGAAAAAUUAGAGCCGUAUCCUGUAGCAUCCAAUCAUACAGCAUAUUUCAUUUCAAAAGGGUAUCUAAAAAUGAAAUGGGAAAUCUGAUUGGUUGCUGUUGGCAGUUGCUUCACUUUUCUUUUACACAAGACUUACUAAAUCUUCCAGACUCUCAUGUAGGAAAACCAGCUUAGACCGUCCCUUCUGUUGACUUACAUACAAUGCUGUUUCUAAUUUGCAGUAUUGGAAUCAUCUCUGUAAACCCUACCUAAAGAGUGUGAAGGGUCCGCCAUAUGACAUUGUGGUAUUACAUAGAGUAAUAGAGAGUUGUCACAGUUUACAUAGGUUCAAAUGAGCUCCGUGAACAGAAUACACAUUUGUGGAUAAAUCAUUAGCAGCAUGUGAAUCCACAAUGGGAAACUAUGUACUAAGAAGUGCUUUUUUAUGAUAUUACUAUGUGGAGCCAACUAUAUGAAGCUCCUUAAAUGAACGUUUGCAUUAUUAACUGGAUAAGGUGAUUUCCUUCCAGAAAGACCAAUUUCAUAAUUUUAUGUUUAAAAGAAUCUGUGUAGUGUCAGGCAUAGCAUUGUAAUCAGAGAAAAAUUUAACACCGGCAUAGAGAAAAUAUGUAGAAUUCUGAAGACACUCCACCAAAAGUACCGGUAAGACACAUUUGAAUGGAAUGGCAAUAUGAGCCAUACAGUGAAUUUCUAAAUGUAUCCUUAUGGUAAAUGUAAGCUAAUGAUAGUUAAUUUAUAAGCUCCUGACUGCCGGUAGCCACCAGCAGAGGGAGCUUUAAAGCUUACUGCAUACUGUGAUAUUAUGGAGUUCAGUGUAAAAACUGUAUGCAAUAAACUCCUAAGCUCCCUCCAGUGGUGGCUGAUGGUAGUCAGAAUUAAAAAACAUAACUGACUAUGUAGUAGAUUUGGUGCUAUGUGUCAGUGAAAAGAACCUCUGGACACUCUAAAAUAUAAAGAAAUUACGUAGCUCAGAUUCUUGGAUUUAAAAAUAACAUGUUUUUUUAAACAGUGGGCAUUCCAUUUAAAGGCAUCAGUAGAAAAUAACCCUAUUAACUCUUUAGGCUCUAGUAACAGAUUUGUAAGAACAUUGCCUACCUGGAAUUAGGAAUCCAGUCUAAUGUUAGGUUCAUAUCCAUAGCUGGGGUUCUGGCAGGAGCCCCCAUCACAGAUUUUGGCAUGCAGCAGUAUUUUGUCUAGGAUGAUGCCAGUAUUCUUGCUGGAAACCGCAAGGACCCCAAUAUAGUGAAUGACAUCCGUCCAUCCAAUGCCAGAAGAACAUACCAGAAUUCAGCCACAGAUGUGCACUAAGCCUAAGAUUUUUUUUGGUUGAUUAAUAAUAUUUUCCAUAUUAUUUACAUUAUGAUACUAGUCGGGACAAGGGACCUUGUGUAUAUGUAGUUACAUUGAUAGGGAGUAAGUUAUAUGUCUGUGUGUUUUGUACAGUUUAGAGGAUGACGUAAAUUCAAAUUAAAAUCUGAUUGGACAACCAAUCAGAUUCCACCUUUCAUUUUCCAGACUAUCUCUUAAAAUAAAAGGUGGAAUCUCGUUGGUUUCUAUGGGCAACAUAGCCAGUGUU